Molecule: long non-coding RNA, 397 nt
Organism: Thalassophryne amazonica
Lineage: Eukaryota; Metazoa; Chordata; Actinopteri; Batrachoidiformes; Batrachoididae
Exons: 2
Source: RefSeq, a predicted model, not a curated record
AAAAGAUCUCUCACUGCUUCGCUUACUCAAACUUGAGAAGUGGGGCAGGAGAGCAAAGGCAGUAUUUGAGGAGAGGAAAGGUCACCAUCUUGAAGAGAGCCCUCAGAUACAAAGUCAGUAAUGUUAAGGGUGCAGCUUUAGACCCCGGGUCUGGGGCCCACUGCACUCUUGUAGAAGGAAAUUCAAGGCAAAUGAAAAAAAAAAAAAGAGAAACCUUUUGGCUGUUCUGAAUGUGGUAAAAGAUUUCUACGGAAGGACGACCUUAUCACACACAUGAGAAUUUAUAUGGGUGAGAAACCUUUUGGCUGUUUUGACUGUGGCAAAACAUUUAGACAGAAGAGCAACCUGACCACAAAUUCAAGGCAAAUGAAAAAAAAAAGAGAGAGAGAAACCUUUU